Molecule: ribosomal RNA, 166 nt
Filed under: Bacillus amyloliquefaciens
Lineage: Bacteria; Bacillati; Bacillota; Bacilli; Caryophanales; Bacillaceae
Description: partial 16S ribosomal RNA
Rfam family: Bacterial small subunit ribosomal RNA
Source: RNAcentral
UUAUCGGAGAGUUUGAUCCUGGCUCAGGACGAACGCUGGCGGCGUGCCUAAUACAUGCAAGUCGAGCGGACAGAUGGGAGCUUGCUCCCUGAUGUUAGCGGCGGACGGGUGAGUAACACGUGGGUAACCUGCGUGUCAUACUGGGCCACGGUCUGGAUACCGGGCG